UACGGGGGGGGCAAGCGUUGUUCGGAAUUACUGGGCGUAAAGGGCUCGUAGGCGGCCAACUAAGUCAUACGUGAAAUCCCUCGGCUUAACCGGGGAACUGCGUCUGAUACUGGAUGGCUUGAGUUCGGGAGAGGGAUGCGGAAUUCCAGGUGUAGCGGUGAAAUGCGUAGAUAUCUGGAGGAACACCUGUGGUGAAGACAGCUUACUGGACCACUUCUGACGCUGAGACACGAAAGCGUGGGUAGCAAACAGG
RNAcentral lists this ribosomal RNA (253 nucleotides) under uncultured bacterium. Its description in RNAcentral is "partial 16S ribosomal RNA". It matches the Rfam family "Bacterial small subunit ribosomal RNA", at positions 524 to 776 of the family's 1533-position model. The record is from RNAcentral.